UAGGAAAAAAGAAGGUGGAUAUUUUUUCAUGCAAAGUAUUCAGGAUGGACAACUUUUGCUUUCUUACGGAGCAGUACUUCUGGAGCUGAAACCUGUUCAUGUGUUGCUGCCUUCUCCAGCACUUAGACCUUUCCACAGUCACCUCUGGCAGCUGUUUUUCAGUUGUGUUUUGAUUGUUUUUGGCAAUAAGCCAUUUCUGGACUGUAGGGAGACAGUGAUCCAGAGCGGAGCAGGCACACAGACGGGAGAUCGUGUGCCACGGGACAGAUGUGUGUGCCACAGGAGAGGAGAUGUGUGUGUCACAGGACAGAUGUGUGUGCCACAGGACAGGAUAUGUCUGUCACAGGACAGGAGAUGUGUGUGCCACAGGCUCCAUCCCACGGCCAGCGGGAGCGGCCUGGGAAUUCACAGGCGCUUUCACAGCUGCUGAAAUCCUGCACGGUUGGCUCCAAAGCCACACUUCUUGCAUAACCAGAAAGGAAUUAACCAACCUGCCAAGGAAACUGCAUUCAAGGCUUUCUGCACAAAAUAACCGCGAUAGGAGAGCAGUGACUUGUAAAAGCAAGGCAAAACAAAGGCUUUGGAGAAGGACAAGAAUCUGAAGAGGAUCCUGGAAGUUUCAUGGAAAAGUUCUAAGGAUGUUUCUGACAAUUUCAAGGGGCUUUUUUCAAUAUUGUUCCAGUAACUAAUGGAAGUACAGACCUAACACCUGGACCCUGCUGUGUCUGCCACUGCCUAUGUCUUCAAGGAAAUGCAAAGCUCAUUAGUUUGUUUUCCAACCUCAGAUGUGCUCAAUAUGCUCCCACACCAUGUAACCAUCCAGCACUGAGCCUGUCCAGUCAGCAAGACAUCCUACUCCUACAGUGUGCUCUACUUAAUCCAACCAAUCAAUACUGACAACACUGAGAAUCAGGAAAGAAAUGUCAGGUAAUUAACUCUGAGCACCUUCUAAUUACUAUUACAUGAAAAGCACCCUUUCCUCACAUCCUUGACAUGUUAGGUUGGUUUUUGUCUUGUUCCAAGACUUCACAGAACAAACUGGGACUUUGCAAGGCCAGGCCUGGAGGGGAGUUUGGUACCACACUGAGACUGGCAGGGACUGGGACCCUGAAGGUAAAUUUGGCACUAAAAAAUGCUGAGUUUGCACAUCUUUAUAUUCUCUUUAGAAACAAGUCCUAUCGCCAUCACAGCUUUUUAAAAGGAGGUGUUGGCAGAAUACAUAACCCAAGGGUUUUCACCAGUUCAAAAUUCCAGCAGAGACAUGGGAGAAGCAAAUCUGCUUUGGGAUUUUCCAGAAUUGGAGGCACAAAGCUCAUGGAAUGUUUUAUUUAUCUGGUAAAAUGGUGCACAAGGAUUUUUAGUGGCUUUCCUUUUUCCUGUGUAAAAUAAACAUCUUUAGUAAAGAUGUCCAGGUCCAAACAGGAUCAGGGAAAGUUCCAAAGUAGAGCUGGGUUGCAUUUUAUAAUAAAACAGCAGAAAAUCCAAUCACGAAAAGUAGGUGGAAGAUGACAUCUGCAAGAGAAACACAGGCUGUAUGUGAGUACUUCCCUGUCAGCUCCCUUUCACCUCCUCUUCCCACCCCAUUCAAUAAAACUGCAUGGCCUAAUGUGGCUCUGUCAACAU
Onychostruthus taczanowskii (white-rumped snowfinch) is the source of this 1623-nucleotide long non-coding RNA. RefSeq lists it as uncharacterized. Lineage: Eukaryota; Metazoa; Chordata; Aves; Passeriformes; Passeridae. The record is from RefSeq and is a predicted model, not a curated record. The transcript is spliced from 3 exons.